This 350-nucleotide unclassified non-coding RNA is filed under the name soil metagenome. RNAcentral's name for it is "partial contains 5.8S ribosomal RNA, internal transcribed spacer 2, and large subunit ribosomal RNA". The stretch from base 1 to 120 matches the Rfam family "5.8S ribosomal RNA", at positions 35 to 154 of the family's 154-position model. The record is from RNAcentral.
GAUGAAGAACGUAGCGAAAUGCGAUAAGUAAUGUGAAUUGCAGAAUUCCGUGAAUCAUCGAGUCUUUGAACGCACAUUGCGCCCCCUGGCAUUCCGGGGGGCAUGCCUGUCCGAGCGUCAUUGCUGCCCUUCAAGCCCGGCUUGUGUGUUGGGUCGUCGUCCCCCCCGGGGGACGGGCCCGAAAGGCAGCGGCGGCACCGCGUCCGGUCCUCGAGCGUAUGGGGCUUUGUCACCCGCUCGAUUAGGGCCGGCCGGGCGCCAGCCGGCGUCUCCAACCUUCUAUUUUACCAGGUUGACCUCGGAUCAGGUAGGGAUACCCGCUGAACUUAAGCAUAUCAAUAAGCGGAGGA